GUGGGAAAUCUUCCGCAAUGGACGAAAGUCUGACGGAGCAACGCCGCGUGAGUGAUGAAGGUCUUCGGAUUGUAAAGCUCUGUUAAUCGGGACGAAAGAGCCUAGUGUGAAUAAUGCUAGGAAGUGACGGUACCGGAAUAGAAAGCCACGGCUAACUACGUGCCAGCAGCCGCGGUAAUACGUAGGUGGCAAGCGUUGUCCGGAAUUAUUGGGCGUAAAGCGCGCGCAGGCGGAUCUGCCAGUCUGUCUUAAAAGUUCGGGGCUUAACCCCGUGAUGGGAUGGAAACUACAGAUCUAGAGUAUCGGAGAGGAAAGUGGAAUUCCUAGUGUAGCGGUGAAAUGCGUAGAUAUUAGGAAGAACACCAGUGGCGAAGGCGACUUUCUGGACGAAAACUGACGCUGAGGCGCGAAAGCCAGGGGAGCGAACGGGAUUAGAAACCCUUGUAGUCC
Molecule: ribosomal RNA, 450 nt
Filed under: uncultured bacterium
Lineage: Bacteria
Description: partial 16S ribosomal RNA
Rfam family: Bacterial small subunit ribosomal RNA
Source: RNAcentral